AGAGCGAACGCUGGCGGCAGGCCUAACACAUGCAAGUCGAGCGCCCCGCAAGGGGGAGCGGCAGACGGGAGAGUAACACGUGGGAACGUACCCUUCAGUUCGGAACAACCCAGGGAAACUUGGGCUAAUACCGAAUACGUCCGUAAGGAGAAAGAUUUAUCGCUGAAGGAUCGGCCCGCGUCUGAUUAGCUAGUUGGUGAGGUAACGGCUCACCAAGGCGACGAUCAGUAGCUGGUCUGAGAGGAUGAUCAGCCUCACUGAGACUGAGACGCGGCCCAGACUCCUACGGGAGGCAGCAGUGGGGAAUAUUGGACAAUGGGCGCAAGCCUGAUCCAGCCAUGCCGCGUGGGUGAUGAAGGCCCUAGGGUUGUAAAAGCCCUUUCGGCGGGGAAGAUAAUGACGGUACCCGCAGAAGAAGCCCCGGCUAUCUUCGUGCCAGCAGCCGC
Molecule: ribosomal RNA, 446 nt
Filed under: uncultured soil bacterium
Lineage: Bacteria
Description: bacterial SSU rRNA
Rfam family: Bacterial small subunit ribosomal RNA
Source: RNAcentral